Molecule: long non-coding RNA, 244 nt
Organism: Vigna radiata var. radiata (mung bean)
Lineage: Eukaryota; Viridiplantae; Streptophyta; Magnoliopsida; Fabales; Fabaceae
Exons: 3
Source: RefSeq, a predicted model, not a curated record
GCCUGAAGAGCUUGGCCAUCUUCCAGUGCUGGAGAGAAUGCAAAUUGAUGAGAACAAUAUUACAGGACCCAUACCACUAUCAUUUGCAAACCUGAACAGCACACAACACUUCCACAUGAACAACAAUUCACUUAGUGGACAAAUCCCAGCACAGCUUUCAAAAUUAGGAAGCCUUAUUCACCUUCUUCUUGACAACAAUAACUUGACAGGAAAUCUCCCAUCCGAGCUCUCUGAGAUGCCAAGC